CCGGCGACCGGCGCACGGGUGAGUAACACGUAUGAAACCUGCCCGUAGCAGGGGGAUAAGCGGAAGAAAUUCCGUCUAAUACCGCGUAACAACCCAUGGAGGCAUCUCUGUGGGCUUAAAGGAAGCGAUUCCGGCUACGGAUGGUCAUGCGUUGCAUUAGCUUGUUGGCGGGGUAACGGCCCACCAAGGCGACGAUGCGUAGGGGUUCUGAGAGGAAGGUCCCCCACACUGGUACUGAGACACGGACCAGACUCCUACGGGAGGCAGCAG
RNAcentral lists this ribosomal RNA (270 nucleotides) under uncultured bacterium. RNAcentral's name for it is "partial 16S ribosomal RNA". It matches the Rfam family "Bacterial small subunit ribosomal RNA", at positions 88 to 354 of the family's 1533-position model. The record is from RNAcentral.